Molecule: ribosomal RNA, 468 nt
Filed under: uncultured bacterium
Lineage: Bacteria
Description: partial 16S ribosomal RNA
Rfam family: Bacterial small subunit ribosomal RNA
Source: RNAcentral
GACGAACGCUGGCGGCGUGCUUAACACAUGCGAGUCGAACGGAAAGGCCCUGCUUUUGUGGGGUGCUCGAGUGGCGAACGGGUGAGUAACACGUGAGUAACCUGCUCUUGACUUUGGGAUAACUUCAGGAAACUGGGGCUAAUACCGGAUAGGAGCUCCUGCUGCAUGGUGGGGGUUGGAAAGUUUCGGCGGUUGGGGAUGGACUCGCGGCUUAUCAGCUUGUUGGUGGGGUAGUGGCUUACCAAGGCUUUGACGGGUAGCCGGCCUGAGAGGGUGACCGGCCACAUUGGGACUGAGAUACGGCCCAGACUCCUACGGGAGGCAGCAGUGGGGAAUAUUGCACAAUGGGCGGAAGCCUGAUGCAGCAACGCCGCGUGCGGGAUGACGGCCUUCGGGUUGUAAACCGCUUUCGCCUGUGACGAAGCGUGAGUGACGGUAAUGGGUAAAGAAGCACCGGCUAACUACGUG